CCUACGGGCGGCUGCAGUGGGGAAUUUUGGACAAUGGGGGGAACCCUGAUCCAGCAACGCCGCGUGAAUGAAGAAGGCCUUAGGGUUGUAAAGUUCUUUUACAUGGGAGCAAGUUUAGUAUGUUAAGAGCUAAUUAAAUUGAGAGUACCAUGAGAAUAAGCACCGGCUAACUACGUGCCAGCAGCCGCGGUAAUACGUAGGGUGCGAGCGUUAAUCGGAAUUACUGGGCGUAAAGGGUGAGUAGGCGGAUGUACAAGUUAGAUGUGAAAUACCUG
RNAcentral lists this ribosomal RNA (275 nucleotides) under uncultured bacterium. RNAcentral's name for it is "partial 16S ribosomal RNA". It matches the Rfam family "Bacterial small subunit ribosomal RNA", at positions 338 to 605 of the family's 1533-position model. The record is from RNAcentral.